Molecule: long non-coding RNA, 200 nt
Filed under: Trifolium pratense (red clover)
Lineage: Eukaryota; Viridiplantae; Streptophyta; Magnoliopsida; Fabales; Fabaceae
Description: long non-coding RNA (TPRA_LNC000439)
Source: RNAcentral
GAAGAAGAUUUCCUGCUGUAAUAUUCCACAAAGUUUUCACGCAGUUUUGAUUGUGGACCGUCCGAUCUGUUAUGUAUGGUUGUGAUUAUUUUGAUGGAUUUUAUAGCUGAUUUGAUCAGAUCCGUUCGAUCAAGAAACAAUGGCUGAGAUUGAAACUGCGUGAAACUGUGUGAUUUUAUUACUGUAGCAAAUCCGAAUCC